AGAGUUUGAUCAUGGCUCAGAACGAACGCUGGCGGCAGGCCUCAAACAUGCAAGUCUAGGGGGUGUAGCAAUACAUCACCGGCGGACGGGUGCGUAACACGUGGGAAUAUACCUUUUGGUUCGGAACAACGCAGGGAAACUUGCGCUAAUACCGAAUGUGCCCUUACGGGGAAAGAUUUAUCGCCAAAGGAUUAGCCCGCGUCCGAUUAGCUAGUUGGUGAGGUAAUGGCUCACCAAGGCUCCGAUCGGUAGCUGUUCUGAGAGGAAGAUCAGCCACACUGGGACUGAGACACGGCCCAGACUCCUACGGGAGGCAGCAGUUGGGAAUCUUGGACAAUGGGGGAAACCCUGAUCCAGCCAUGCCGCGUGAGUGAUGAAGGCCUUCGGGUUGUAAAACUCUUUCGACGGGGACGAUAAUGACGGUACCCGUAGAAGAAGCUCCGGCUAACUUCGUGCCAGCAGCCGCGGUAAUACGAAGGGGGCUAGCGUUGUUCGGAAUUACUGGGCGUAAAGCGCGCGCAGGCGGUCUUCCAAGUCAGUGGUGAAAGCCCGGAGCUCAACUCCGGAACUGCCAUUGAAACUGUAAGACUUGAGGAUGAGAGAGGUGAGUGGAAUUCCCAGUGUAGAGGUGAAAUUCGUAGAUAUUGGGAAGAGCACCGGUGGCGAAGGCGGCUCACUGGCUCAUAUCUGACGCUCAGGCGCGACAGCGUGGGGAUCAAACAGGAUUAGAUACCCUAGUAGUCC
This 744-nucleotide ribosomal RNA is filed under the name uncultured bacterium. RNAcentral describes it as "bacterial SSU rRNA". It matches the Rfam family "Bacterial small subunit ribosomal RNA", at positions 8 to 796 of the family's 1533-position model. The record is from RNAcentral.